Molecule: ribosomal RNA, 348 nt
Filed under: uncultured bacterium
Lineage: Bacteria
Description: bacterial SSU rRNA
Rfam family: Bacterial small subunit ribosomal RNA
Source: RNAcentral
GGACCCGCACAAGCGGUGGAGCAUGUGGUUUAAUUCGAUGCAACGCGAAGAACCUUACCAGGGUUUGACAUCCUGCGAAUCUCUUGGAAACGAGAGAGUGCCUUCGGGAACGCAGUGACAGGUGGUGCAUGGCUGUCGUCAGCUCGUGUCGUGAGAUGUUGGUUAAGUCCCGCAACGAGCGCAACCCACGUCUUUAGUUGCCAGCAUUUAGUUGGGCACUCUAGAGAGACCGCCGGUGAUAAACCGGAGGAAGGUGUGGAUGACGUCAAGUCAUCAUGCCCCUUACAUCCUGGGCUACACACGUACUACAAUGCUACGGACAAAGAGCAGCAAGUUCGCGAGGACAAG